RNAcentral lists this RNase P RNA (415 nucleotides) under Ignavibacteriales bacterium. RNAcentral's name for it is "RNase P RNA component class A". It matches the Rfam family "Bacterial RNase P class A". From Rfam's summary of the family: Ribonuclease P (RNase P) is a ubiquitous endoribonuclease, found in archaea, bacteria and eukarya as well as chloroplasts and mitochondria. Its best characterised activity is the generation of mature 5'-ends of tRNAs by cleaving the 5'-leader elements of precursor-tRNAs. Cellular RNase Ps are ribonucleoproteins. The record is from RNAcentral. Lineage: Bacteria; Pseudomonadati; Ignavibacteriota; Ignavibacteria; Ignavibacteriales.
AAUUCAAUCCGGGCAAUUGCUUCCUGAUUUAUCGGGAGGAGGAAAGUCCGAACUUCACAGAACAAGGUGCCGGGUAACUCCCGGGAGCUAAUGGAGAAAUCUAUUAUCGACUGACAGUGCCACAGAAAAUAAACUUCUCCGAUAAUAUCGGAGUAAAGGUGAAAAGGCGAGGUAAGAGCUCACCGGCCUGAUAGUAAUAUCGGGUGCAUGGCAAACCACACCUGAAGCAAGGUCAAGUAAGAAAAUCUUCCCGAUCUGAUCGGGACAAAGUUGUUCGCUUUGUAUCAAUGCUUAAUUGCAGGUUAGAUUUUCGGGUAGACCGCUAGAGUCUGUUGGUAACAACAGAAAUAGAUAAAUAAUUGCCGUCCCGGCUUCGUCGGGGUUACAGAAUUCGGCUUACAGGAUUGAACUUUUA